UAUAUCAUUUUUAAUGUGAAAAAUAAUAUAAACAUUGAAGAGAGAGAGAGAGAGGCAAUAGGUCAGUGUCAAUAGCUGUAAGAAGCCAAAAUCCACCAUUAAAUAGCCGGUUCUAUGGCACAGUAGAUGAAGAGGCUGAAGAUAGAGUGAUGCAUAAACAUUUAUGUAGAUGGGGGAGAGGAUUGUGACAGUGAGAGUGAGUCACGAGGCUUACCUCUCUAAACCAUGCAUGUCUCGUGCUUUCCUCUCUGUCAAUCUCCAGAUGUGCAACUGACUCUUCUGGGGUUUCUUUAAAAGCCCUUAAUUUUUCCAACAAAUCAAGGCCAAACACUAUGGCUCUUCUAGGUUUUGGUUCAUCCAUGGAUCUCACUUGUCUGGUACAUGUUGGUUUGAGAGGUUGAAGCUGCCAGCAUGAUCUGGUCAUCUUGCAGCUUCAAUCACUCACUUCCAACAAUGAAAGAAAUUUUUGCAAAUAUGGCUUCUUUGGGGAUAUAUAUAUUCUAAUGGCUCAGAAUCUGCAAAUGCAUUCCAGGUACAUUUAACCUUUUUCUUAAGUGACUUUUCUGUGAUUUAGAACUAGAAACUCAUCCUAGUGAUUAUGCAUUUCUAUUUCUCAUUUAAAGUUCAUUAUUUUGUUCUCCAAUUGGGGGAUAUAUAUCCAAAUUUCAUGUGCAUACAUACAUACAUGACAUGAAGAUAUGCAUGCACACAUCUGCUUGUCCAAGUCAAAGUACUGCAUGAGUUUUCAACUCAGCCAGUACCAGUGGUUGUCUAUUGAUUGAUUUAUUUUAAUGAAACUAAUAAUAUCUCUAUUGAUAACUGCAAAGUGUUGAAAAUGAAAAUUUAUCUCAUCUAAUCUCUUGCUAGGCAUGUCUGUCUGUGCAUCUUGUUGUCCUGAUUUUUUGUUGGUAAUGUCUGGAAUCACAAUGUAAACAAAUUCCCAACACAUGGCAACAAGAUCACUAAUGAAUCAUAUUUGUAUUUUUGGCUCAGCAUGUUUUUAUUUUUUAUUUUUUUAUGAAUAUUUUGGCUCAUCAUGUUGAACAAAUUGGAUGCCUGCUCUAUUAUCUGUUUAUGGUCUUUCUAUAUCUAGCUAGUAGCUAGCUCAUUCAUCUGUGAUCUGUGCCUUUUCAUACAUCUUUUCAGAAAGGUACGACUCAUGGUUGUUUCCUUGUCAUGUUCUAUUACGUGUCCAGUUUGGUGUUCAUGAGUCAUGACCUAACUUUUUAAAUGGCCACUAACAAGACAACACAAUAUUAGUAAUCAUAUACUUGCAACUGAGUUAUCAAUUUGGAGUUUUUACUGUGCUUUAGUCAAUAAUAUUGUAUCUACCAGUGAAGUGAUCAAGACUUUUUAAUCAUAAUAAAAAAGAAAAAAGAAAAAAGAAAAAAAAGAAGACUUUUAUAUCUACAAUAUAUAUAAUUGUAAUGCUAUCUUGGUUUUCAUUUGCACAAUACAUAGGUAAUCGGUCGGUUUAAAAUUCAUUACUUUCACUGGACAUGCAAGAACCCGUUAAAAUAGAUGUUUUUUCAUCGGAAGUUUCAUUUCUCACGGUAGAAUAUAGAUAAAAUAAAGUAUUUUAUUUGUGUUAUUGAAUGUCAAUGUAAUGUUGAAGAGAGAAUUUCACCAUUAUCAUUACUUUAAUUUCAAUCUUCAUACUUCAUUUUAAAUCUUAAGUUUGUACUGCUCGGACAGAAUGGGAAGUAGGAGUAAUUAGUGGUAAUGAAAUCCAUGCUAUAUAACUGAUCAAAGGAAUACGAAGAAUUUGCUCUAAAUUAAUAUGGAAAUUAUUAGUAAAGAUUUGAUUGGAUUGAAAUUAGGAUUUUUUUUUUUUUUUUUUGAUUGGGAGAUAAUAUCUUGAGAAAAACCCAAUUGAAAAGUUAAUAUAACAUAUAAAAACACUACUUGAACAAAAGCCUUAAGCCUAUAUAGGUAGUAGUUAUUAUUCAAUAUAGGAUUUCACCACAUAACUAAUUACAAAAUUAUUUCUCAAAAAAAAGAAAAGAAAAGAAAAAAGAGCUAAUUACAAAACUCAUGCGUAAAUAUGUCACCAAAUCUCUCUGAUUGGUCAUCCCCUUGAACGGACACCUUCUUCUUACGAAUUCAAGUGUCAUGCAUCAUCACCAAUAAAGAGCACUUUACUCAACUAUGAAUGGAGCGAAUAUGAAAGUUUUCCUUGCACAACCAUAGGAAUCACCAACACACCCAAUAAAACCUUCACUCAACCAUGGUUGGAGUUGUUGACAUGAUAGUUUUCCUAAUUCUACUUCCACUAAUGAACACUUGCCUAAUUGAACCAUCAGUUCUAAUACCAUUUGUUGGGGGAGAUAAUGCCUUAGGGAGACUCCAAUUGAGAGGUUAGUAUAACAUAUAGGGAUAUCAUUUUAUCCAAAAGUAUAAGUCUAUGAGUUUGGACCCAGUUAUAUUAUAUUAACCAUUCAUUUCUGUUAUUAUUUUCUAAUGUGGGGUUUCACCACAUAACUAAUUAUAUCAUUCACACAUGAAUACAUUUUCCCUCUCUUUUUGAUCUAAUUGAAAAUGUGAUUGCAUGCAACAUUUUCCAAAUUUAGUGGAAAAGAAAUGAUCACUUUUAACUACUUUAGAUCUAGGAAAAUUAAGGAUAUAUAUUCUUAAUUUGUCUCCCUUGCUAACAAUCCUGAUUAUGCUUAUUCUCCUGAAUCUAUCACAUAGGCAUUUUCCAUUCCAAAAGGAUCCAAAGAAAUAAGGCGAUUUUAGAUUUUUAUUAUUAGAAAAGAUCAAAUAUAGCUAAGAUACCAUGUUAGAACAUGCCACACAUAACUUUGGUACUAUGAUUAGUAUAUAGGAAAAUAUGAAUCUUGUAUAAUGAACCUAGACUAGUAGACUAGAUCCUAGAUUCACGAUAGAUUAACCUAGAGUUAUAAUAUUUGUACUACAAGUAUAAUUAGAAUUAUUUUUCUUCUACUCUAAGUAAGAUUAGGUGUGUGUUUGGGUUAGGAUGAAAAAUGAAAAUAAUUUCACUAUUUAGCUUAUUUUUUCUACUAUUUAUAGGCUCCACUGUACUUUUUGGCACUAUUAAUGGGUUUCAUUGUACUAUUUUAAUUAACUUUUACCUUUAUCUACAGUACUUUAAGUAAUAAUUUUUCAGUUUUAACAAAAUAAGCGGUAUUCAAACACACCCUAGAUAUCAUAAAUUUAAACUAGUUCUAGAGGGAGCAGCUUCAGUAUAGUUCUAUCUCUUUAGCCCGAAGGAAUUAUACAAAAUAAUUAUGCCUUGAUUAAGAGUGGGCCUUGAUAUCUCGAACACUUCAUGUAAAAAAUUGGUCUUAGAACUAUUGUUCAUCUUGUGUAUUGUGGCCAUAGAUUGAUCCUUUGCUGGAAAUACAAGUUUGAGAUGUGAUGUCCACUGCAUGGAGUGUUCUAAGUUUUAACCCUUACAAAAAGAAACGGUGUUUAUUUAAUAAUAAAUAGGUAAUUACUGGUCAAGAUUUUUGUAGUUCAAUUAGUUGGUAUCAAGUUGGUAUCUCUUGAUAUUUCUAUAACAUCCAAGAUUCAAAUCUUUCCAUCCUCUUGUAACUUUAUUAUAAAAAAAAAAGAAAAAAAAAGGUAAUGGCUUUGACUUUUUAGUGCUUUUUUAUAGUUAAUUUUACAAUGCUAAUGAAGUACUUCUAUCGUUAUAGUUGCAUUAUUAAUUUUGAUUUCCAUCAUAUGGUAAUUAAAUUUUUUUAAUCGUUAUUGUCUUUUUAAAAUUUUGAAACUAAUAUAGAAGCUGAUUAUACGAAGGGAAAUUGGUUUAGUUUUGUAUGAAAAAGUCUUUCCAAACCCAAAUCUUCUAAGUAUUUUACAUACCCUAUUAAAUUUUAGAAAUUUCAUUCCAAAGUAGAUCUAUUUACAUUUGAAGAACACCAACUUGUCACAAACAGACUUGUUUAUCUUGGUAUGAGUUGGGUCAAACAAGUUUUAUUAGGUCAGGUUAACUUAAAAUUGGAUAAUAUAAUUCCAGCAUUAGUAAUAAUUCUUACACUAAACUAAAUAAUAUUUUAAGAGAAAAAAAAAGAGGGUACUCUUACUUUUGUUGUAAAAACUCUAGGUUUUUUUUUUUUUUUUUUUUUGGGGGUACACAAAAUUAAUAAAAAGAGUAUUUAAGUUGUUUAACUUUGUAACCGGGUCCAAAUCCUAGCAAGCUUAAAAUGUGAACCCAAACCUAAUACGAAGUCCAAAUCAUUUUUUUUUAACCCUAUAAUUACUACAGUUGACCACAAUAAUAAUAAUAAAAAAUAAAUAAAUAACCCACUAAAUUCGAUCCAUUGUCAUCCUUAACUAAUCAAAUUUGAACACAUAGAAAGUAUGUAUUUUUUGUUACAUACAUGACUUUAUGUGGACGUUAACAUAAGGAUCGCUUGGACAGAGCUUUCUCUACAUCAAAGCUAUGCCCAUCAUUGGCAAAUAUUAUCCAAGUGUUUUUUCUAAAAAUAAUUUUAUGGGCAAAGCUUUUUGAUUAUUCCACAUGGAUAACUGACCUAAUAUUUCCUUUCAAUUAAUUAAUAUGCCUGACUGGAUAGCUGUAAACAAAUCAUUAUUAUGAUUGCUACAUUGUUUUUUGCCAUCACCACACAUAUGCUUUAGCAAUCAGACAUGAUGAGGAAAGGUGAUUUGUAAUUACUUGCUAGGGUGGUGACACAACACUAUAUAUAUAUAUAUAUAUAUAAAAUUAGCAUGACCCUAACAUUAUAUAAUUCUAAAAAUGCUGUACAUAUAUUAAAGAUUAUAGCAAAUUCAGUUCAUCUAGAAUGACAUGAUGAUUAAUGAGGUGACUUAAUCUGCAUGUCAAAAUCAAACGAACCAUGCACGUGCGGUACUAGAAGCUAUGUAUAUUAUUGCAUGUGAAUUAAUUAAUUGUGGAGCUAGCCUUUAUAUUCAUGAAAUAAGAAAGGUUAGUUUGUAAAAGUCAUUUCCUACAUACAUACUGGAAUUGCUGUUAAAUUAUAAUUAGCAUCGUAGCUUUUCCUCCGCAGAAGCAUGGUAUAUAUCACUUUUUACUACGAGGAACAGCAUUCAUAUAUCAAACCCCCAAAAGAAAAAGAGUGCAUAACUUUAGGAUCAAUUCAAUGGUUGCUGCAAAUUGUGGACAAUUCUUCCAUAUCUUAGUCAUGUUGAUGUUUGCAACUAAAACAAGACACAUGAAUUUGUCGCUUAAGAGCUCUAUAUUCUGAGUAGAAAUAGAGAGAUUUUUUUUUUUUUUUUCUCACAUAUAUUUUACACACACACUUCUAUAUAUCCAGUGGUUAUAUUAUAUUACCCUAUUUAUAGAGUUUGACGUGAGUAAUUAUUAGAAGUAAUGGGUAGUUAUCCAAAGGAAAUUAACCAAGAGAAGAGAAACAUCUCACGGUUAUGGACAAGGUACAAUUCAUUCUCUUUGUAUUUAUUUGUUAUAUGAUUGUUUUUUAUAAAAAGAUUUUCUUUAAUUUUAUUUCUCUUUUAUGAUGCAAUACAUUCAAAACAUCAUUUACAUUUCCAAAAGAGUUCUCAAUACUUUUGACAGAUGAUUAUUAUUACUUUCCAAGUUAAUAUAAAAUGCUUAUGCGCGCAGGCCUAAACUUUGUAAAGCUUGCAUGGAUGGUUUCCCAGAUCUUUCAAAUUACUUUAUUUAUUUAUUUAUUUUUUUUUUUGAUAAAGCAAAUUACUUUAUUAAAUAAAGAGUUGGAGGGUUAAGUUCAGCCCAUGAUAGGAGAAGUUUUUUUGAGAUUAUUUUACUGGUUUUGAAAUCUACAAUGGUGCACUAAUUCUAUUAUUUUAUUGAUUCAAGUAGUUCUUAGCAAUGGCGAGCACAAAGUUAGAGAUGGAGCCCUUUAAUGAGAAAAAUAAUUUUAUUCUUUGGUAAACUACCACAUUGAAAUCCACAAAAUGCAACAUUUUUGUAGCCAUUUAUUACAUGCAGUCUUAUCCCUCACAUAAAUCAAAGUGAACAAUGUCAUUUAAAGCAAAAGUCAUCAAAUGAUGAUUGCACCCUUGUGAAUCAAGUAAAGAGGGUCAUUGUGGGUUGAAUCUAUCUUAUUGAUCCCAGAGUGAUAGGAUCAUUCCAUAGAACUUGAGAUCUUUCGUUUCAUUUACUUGGACUAAAAAAAAUUGUAAUCAUGAAAGAAGUAUAAUUUAUUUCGGAUGUAUGCUUCAUUCCACUCAUAAAUGGUGGGACCCUCCAAUUAUAAGUGGAAGGAAGUAUACACGACAUUUUCUCAUAGCCGUGAAGGAAUUUGGAGAGGAAAUUGCUCAGAGAGUACAAUUUGAGUAAGGAGCCUCAUCGGCCUAGCCCAACGUAUUAGGCCUUACUGCAACCAUCAGUCAUCUGAAGGCAUUCUGCUGAGCUUAGGGCCACUUAGCUGAUCAAGACUCCGAGGAUAGUUCUUUAGUCGGAACAACCGAGUAUGGUCAAAUUGCACCGCAAGACAAGUGAGGCCUUGAUCGAUCUAUGGCAAUAUACAUCAAUGGAACCUCAUAGGUCGUUGUUAUAUGCUUCAUAGUUAAUUCAAAAGAUUGCUAGUUAAAUAUGAAACAAAUAAUAAGAGAAAACACUAGAAAUAUUACAUAUUUCUAUUCAUUUAUAUUAUUUGUGAUCCUCAUUUUUUAUUAG
Molecule: long non-coding RNA, 6607 nt
Organism: Quercus lobata
Lineage: Eukaryota; Viridiplantae; Streptophyta; Magnoliopsida; Fagales; Fagaceae
Exons: 2
Source: RefSeq, a predicted model, not a curated record